UCCGGUUUGUCACCGGCAGUCUCCUUAGAGUUCCCGCCAUUACGCGCUGGCAACUAAGGACAAGGGUUGCGCUCGUUGCGGGACUUAACCCAACAUCUCACGACACGAGCUGACGACAGCCAUGCAGCGCCUGUCUCACGGUUCCCGAAGGCGCAUCCGCAUCUCUGCAGACUUCCGUGGAUGUCAAGACCAGGUAAGGUUCUUCGCGUUGCAUCGAAUUAAACCACAUACUCCACCGCUUGUGCGGGCCCCCGUCAAUUCCUUCGAGUUUUAGUCUUGCGACCGUACUCCCCAGGCGGGCUACUUAAUGCGUUAGCUUCGGCACAGGAGGGGUCAACACCCUCCACACCUAGUAGCCAUCGUUUACUGCUAGGACUAA
RNAcentral lists this unclassified non-coding RNA (379 nucleotides) under uncultured Pseudomonadota bacterium. RNAcentral's name for it is "uncultured proteobacterium contains 16S-23S intergenic spacer region". Lineage: Bacteria; Pseudomonadati; Pseudomonadota. The record is from RNAcentral.